Molecule: ribosomal RNA, 459 nt
Filed under: uncultured bacterium
Lineage: Bacteria
Description: partial 16S ribosomal RNA
Rfam family: Bacterial small subunit ribosomal RNA
Source: RNAcentral
GAUGAACGCUGGCGGCGUGCCUAAUACAUGCAAGUCGAGCGGUAAGGUCCCUUCGGGGAUACACGAGCGGCGGACGGCUGAGUAACACGUAGGGACGUACCCCAAAGUGAGGGAUAAGCACCAGAAAUGGUGUCUAAUACCGCAUGUGCUCUAAGGAGUAAAGCUUCGGCGCUUUGGGAACGGUCUGCGUCCGAUUAGCUAGUUGGUGAGGUAAUAGCUCACCAAGGCGACGAUCGGUAGCUGGUCUGAGAGGAUGAUCAGCCAGACUGGGACUGAGACACGGCCCAGACUCCUACGGGAGGCAGCAGUAGGGAAUUUUCCACAAUGGGCGAAAGCCUGAUGGAGCAACGCCGCGUGCGGGAUGAAUGCCUUCGGGUUGUAAACUGCUUUUAUAUGUGACGAUUAUGACGGUAACAUAUGAAUAAGGAUCGGCUAACUCCGUGCCAGCCGCCGCCGUAA